AGAGUAGGACUUAAUGUUCUAUCACGCUCCUUAUGCGGAAAGCGUGAGACACAGUUUAUCGCCGCUGACUCUAGACAGUUUUUGAGGAGUUGUCUGGGAAGGCAAGCUUUCUAGCUUUCAAGAUUUGAAUUUGAGGGCUUGGGGAGAAUUGGGGUUUAUCUGGUUGGGGUGGGAACAACCUGCCAGUCUUGAGGAAGGUUCACUUUAGGGCAGCCCUGCCCCCUACAUGGCUUGUUCAUGCAUCUGAAGUGACCUCCAGACUUCUGCAGACGUUUUGUUUGUCAUGCACACUCACUUAAAUCCCUUGACCUUAUUGCUCAAGAAUCUCCGCGUGUCUCAGCAUUGCCUCUAGGGUGGAAUCCAGGGGGUUCGUUUUCCAGAACAGUCACCAUCUAGCUUGAUGUGAGUCCUCAGUCUGGCUCCUGGCUCCCCCUACGUUAUUCUGUGCACCCCAGCUCUUCUCCAGGACCCGCCAUGCUCCAGACACACCAGGUAUGGUCACAUCUCAGUAUCCGGAAGAGUUGUGCCUCUUCUGGGAUGCAUCUUGCUGUCUACUCCGGCCACUCCAUUUCUCUCACAAUCAAAGUCUGCUCAUCUAAGCUUCAGCUCAACAGUUACUCUCCCUGGGAACUGGUCCCAGAUCGUUAAUCCUCAUAGCCAUCUUAAUUAAGCACACUGCUAGGGUGUGCUUAUCACCUCCUUAAGCAACACAGCCACAGUUCUCGCUAUGCUGCCAGUUUCCUGAAAGUCUUUCAGCACUACUGGGUCACCCUCCACAGGGGCUCUCUGUCACUGACCCCACUGUGGCAUCCUGCCCUGUUUCCUGUAUCGCAGAGUAGGCUUACUGAACGCCUGUAGACCUUUGCCUGAUGAUAAGCGAUUCAAAAGGUAGCUUUGGGGAGCUGGAGAGAUGGCUCAGUGGUUAAGAACUCUGGCCAAAGACCAAAGUUCAUUUCCCAGCACCCAUGUCAGGAGGCUCACAACGGCCUUCAAGUCAAGCUGCAGGGAAUCCAACGCUCUUCUGCCCUCUGCUGGUACCUUCAUGUACAUACUCUUACCUAUGUGUGAUCAUGACACACAUGCAGGCUGGUGAGUGCGCGCGCGCGCGCACACACACACACACACACACACACACACACACACACAGAGGGAGAGAGAGAGAGAGAGAGAGAGAGAGAGAGAGAGAGAGAGAGAGAGAGAGAAAGAGAGAGAGGGGUAUCCUUUAAAGCCAGACUUGUCAGAUUUCUGGGGCUCAAGCAGGAGAGGGACUUGUAAGUUUGGGAGAAAUACAACUGGGGCAAAAGCCAGAUCGUUCAGAUCGUCUAGCUGAGGGUCAAUGGGAACAUUUAUCCGAGAAAUCACUGUGCAUGUAGAGAUAAUCUCCUGAGUGUAAAAGAGACGGCAGGAUCUUUUUCAAAAUAGAUUUCCCCCUUCUUUGACCUUUCCUGGGUAUGGCCAUACUGUUGUUAACUUUAUUACUGAAGCUUAAUGCCCAAGGAACCAGGAAACACUUCUGGAAACAGCUGUGAGUGUGGCCAUUCAUUGAUUAUGGAGCGGGAUCUCUGCUUCCAUGGUUAGGGCGCCUGUGUUCUCCUUAGAAGCACUAAUGACAGGGACUUAAAUUAGACCACACCGAGUUAAGGGAAAUGAUUCAGUCCACCAUUUUCAUCAGACCAAUGACUGGAGCCAUCUACCCUGACCUCUACAAAGGGUUUCGGAACAACUGUGUAAUUCCCAGAAAGAUAAGAGAAGGCAGGUCACCCGGUGGUUCUCAAGUCUCCUCUGUCAUCCCAGGACACACCUCAAGGCAGGAGGGUGCCUAAGUACACGGGGCGUUGGGUGUGAGCCUUGUGAGAGCAGAGACCGGGAGACCUUAAUGGAGGGGCUGGCACUGUGACAGUGUGCAGGCCCAGUCUGGCCUGUGCGGCAGCUGCACAUGUUCCUGGGACCCGAGCCAGCUGGUGGCUCAUGGCAAUGGUUUCUGGGUCCUGGCUGUGUCCCAAAACAGGCUCGAGCUCCUUAGUCUGAUCUGGCCAUGGCUUUGUUCUAACUCCAAGAUGAAGUUUGGCUGCUGAACCAGAAGGGGAAGGCAGGUCCAUGCCCCCUUAACCCACGCGCUCCUUCCAACCAAUCUGAUACACAGGGUCGAGGGCGGAAGCAGAGUUAGAGUCUGACGCCGUGCGGUAGUUCCGCCCCCUUUUGGCCUCCUCAGCACACCUCAACCCUAACCUUUGAGCACUGGGCUUCAGCUGAGGCUGAGGUCACUAAGGGCUUCGUCAGGAGUCCAGAAGAUCCAGGAACACUUGGAGGUGACCCCAAACUGGGUUGCAACACUGCAAGCCUUGGUUUUAUCCAAGACAUGUGAUUCCCCCAAAUCAGGGUCUCUGAAACCCACUGAGUUCUCAAAACAAGGUGACCCUUAAAUCUCCCUCUAACAUUUGGUGACGCUUUCCAACGGUGACGUUCUUUGACACGCACGCUUCCCUUAAGGCAUCUUUAGGACCUUUUGGUCUCUUUAUUGAUUAGAUCGGGCGAUCUAAGGAAAGGCAGAAUGCUCGCCGCGCAGAGGGAGCUUCUAGACAAAGCUCCUAGACGAGACUCCAGCCUCCCCGGCAGCUUGCUGUCCCAGCCCCUCCCAUCUGGGGCUCUGAAAUCAGCUUGUAAAAUAUAGGCUUUAUUUGUAGGCUUCUCUUCUAGUUUCAGGCUAAUUCUAGUAGAUUGAGAGUAACACAAUAAGAGGGAGAAAUUUUGUUUUGUUUGUUUGUUUGGAGUGCUUUCCUUAUUAUUUUUUUUUCCUUUCCCAAACUCUUUUUUUGGAAACUGCAACCCCGGAUCCCAACAGAGGCUCCUGGGGGGUUUUAAGAACAUCAAUCAGUUUCGCAGCUGGAGGCUGAGGCUUUCCUGGGGGAAGACUUUUUACAUAAAACAGAUUGUACUUUGUCCUUGCCAGGGCAGACAAAGGUUUAAAUUAAAUAUGCAGCAAGCUCCAGUUGGCUGCCUGCCACCACCCAGAGGUGGGGGAAGGGAGACCGUGUCCCUGCUCGCCUGACUCACUCAGUGGUUUUUUUUUUCUUCUUCUUCUUCUUUCUUUCCCUUCCCAUUUCUGUUACUGCUGUGGAAGGCGCCUGCAGUCCUGGGCUGGGUUUUUCUGUAAAUGCACUCUGUGAGAGAUAUGCAGCCUUCUGGGACCUUGGCUUCCUCUUCUAUGCAAGGAGGGAGGUGACCUUUGAAGGUCUCUUCUGUAUUUAACCUUUUUCCGCUUUCUCUGAUCUCACGGCAGGGAUUUUAAGCGAAUGCCCUAAGCCUCUCUACAUGGGGGCUCACACCAUCCCCGGGGUGAUGUGUAACUCAUCUAUGUGUAACUUAUUAUUCCUGGGGUGACUGAUCACACCAUUCCUGGGGUGACCUCAUCCAUGUGAGCCAGACCGGAUGCUUGCCCACUCGGAGACCCCAGUCUCAUCUGUCUAUAACAUCUCCACACUAAUACGUGACUUCCAGAGACUCCGGGUGAGGCAUUGGAGACCAGCCAGAAGCCCUUUUCAAAGACCUUGACUUUCACGUGACCUUUUCACCCUCGAUGGACAGAACAGACGAGUGACUGGCUUCGCUGCAACAGGACAGCGACGUGACCUCUCAGCAUCCUGGUCCACCCGCAUGCCUGCCUGCUGCCUCUUCCCUGCCAUUACGGAUGCUAAUCCUCUGGAACCACAAGACAACAUAACAACAAGUCCUCUUCCUUAGGUUGCCUUGGUCAUGGUAUCCUGUCACAGCGACAGAAAAGUACUGAAUAUGAGGGACAACCCGAUUGUGUGUUUGCGUCGAGCUAUCUCAAAGACACGAUCCAGUCUACGGAUUGACUGACUGCCCUUGUACGUCCGUACCCAUGCGAACGAGCACAGCACGAUCACAGAAGAACGAGCCUCGGUGAACAGUGAAUGCCUUGAGGGAACUGUGGGAGAGGCUCCAGGAGAAAAAGGCUGAGGGCCUUUACCUCAGGGGCAUCUUGUUCCCUGGAUUGUUCUUGGAUGUGAUUUUGUGUUUCCUGUGUUAAACAUUUACGUUCAAUUCAUAAGACUUGUUUGUUCUUGUUGGAUGUCUGAACAUAGCUGUAGAACCCAAAUCUGGUCAGUGUACCUUGAAUCUGGACAUGGCCUUCUGCCUUGCUUCCCUGCUUUCCCGGAUCUAGUCUAGUACGUUCUAGGUAAUUGUGUUUAAACUGGUCUGUCCUGAGAAAGUUCUGGGGACAGGCUGCUCUGCUAAUAUUUAGUAUGUGCUUACUGGUGUUAAUUUGCAUGUUUUUCUGAACUCUAACAGCCUUCCUUGAAUCCUUCCUUUCUUUUUUAUGUUGGGUCUAAAGUACACUGAAAGUAAGGAGGUUACCUACAGUUUCAGACUCUAGUAUGCCCCAUUCUUUCAGGUCCUCGGAUUCCAAGUCCAGCAGACAAGGUCUGCACGAGUUGAUGCAAAUCAUCACGGGAUAACCUUUCUUCUGUUUGUUUUGGUUUUGUUGUUUAAGACCCAGUCUCCCAUAGUUCAGAGACUUGAACUGAAUAUACAGCUAAGGACAGUCCCCUUGCCCCUACCUCCCAAGAGCUGGGAUUGUAGGUGUGCACCUCCUUCUGGUUUACUCAGCGCUGGGACAUUAAUCUAGGAAAACGGGCCUGCCAGUCAUCAUGCACGCUAGGCAAGUUUUAUACGGACUGAGCUACCCCCCCACCAGCCCUCGGUAUCCAUUUUUUUUUUAAACCAUCUGGAGAAACAAGUUGGGGAAUAAAUUACAUAGGAAUUUGGAAAUAAAAAGAAUAAAUAUAUGUGCCAGAACCAUUUUAAUACUGAAGGUUUUUUAAAUGUAGCUGACAGCGUUAUUAAAAUGUAUUGCGAUGGUUGCAAAAAUCAAACUGUUAAGGCUUUUAGAAGGGACUACAGCUUUCUUCUUUUCUUUAAGUGUAUUCUUUAAUGUGAAUCAAGGGUGGCUGCUGGCAGUAUCGGCCCACACACUCAAGUGUACAAAAAAUGCUGUCCAGUGGGUGAAUAGGGCCAAUAUGGAGGGUCCGGGUCGCGGUAUUAAAUAAUUCCCAUCA
Rattus norvegicus (Norway rat) is the source of this 5081-nucleotide long non-coding RNA. RefSeq lists it as uncharacterized. The record is from RefSeq and is a predicted model, not a curated record. NCBI's taxonomy places the organism in Eukaryota, Metazoa, Chordata, Mammalia, Rodentia, Muridae.